AUGGAAGAAAAGUUGUCUAGUAUGCGACAAGAUGUCAUUCAGGAAUUUGUGGCGCUUUAUCAAAGAAUAGGGCCUUAUCUACUGAUCGAGCCCUACUUGGUCGAUGAAGCGCUUCGUUCCUAUCUGGACCAUAUUCACGCAACUGAUUCUUUCACUAUUCUCCAAGCGUCUUAUCAAGAUCUGCGGGAGAAUGAGGGAGGAUCUGUUUUCUUUAGAGAUGCUGUUUCCCACAACCGGGAUCUCCUUGAGGCGGAAAGCUCCGCAAGGAGGUGCCUGGAAGUGGAACAGAGGAUCCGAUGGGAAGAAAUCCCCAAGAGCAAGGCAAGUCUCGAAAGAGCUGAGCAUGAGCAUGCUCUCGACUUGUUUAAGUCGGAGGAUCUUAGAAGGGAAUUAGAAAAGAAAAGAGCGGGGUAG
RNAcentral lists this ribosomal RNA (414 nucleotides) under Triticum aestivum (bread wheat). Its description in RNAcentral is "partial small subunit ribosomal RNA". Lineage: Eukaryota; Viridiplantae; Streptophyta; Magnoliopsida; Poales; Poaceae. The record is from RNAcentral.